GAUGAUCUAGGCGAUGAGGUUCGCCUUAUAACCGUGGCUCGAAUGCCUCUGAUGACCUCUACCUUUGC
This 68-nucleotide non-coding RNA is filed under the name Lentisphaerota bacterium. RNAcentral describes it as "Lentisphaerae bacterium Fluoride sequence". It matches the Rfam family "Fluoride riboswitch aptamer (crcB RNA motif)". The record is from RNAcentral. Lineage: Bacteria; Pseudomonadati; Lentisphaerota.